GUCCAGGUGGCGGAAUGGCAUACGCGACGGUCUCAGAAACCGGCCCUUCGGGGUAUGAGGGUUCGAGUCCCUCUCUGGACACCA
This 84-nucleotide transfer RNA is filed under the name Polyangiaceae bacterium. Its description in RNAcentral is "tRNA-Leu". It matches the Rfam family "tRNA". Rfam says of the family: Transfer RNA (tRNA) molecules are approximately 80 nucleotides in length. The record is from RNAcentral. Lineage: Bacteria; Pseudomonadati; Myxococcota; Polyangiales; Polyangiaceae.